This 460-nucleotide ribosomal RNA is filed under the name uncultured bacterium. RNAcentral describes it as "partial 16S ribosomal RNA". It matches the Rfam family "Bacterial small subunit ribosomal RNA", at positions 338 to 795 of the family's 1533-position model. The record is from RNAcentral.
CCUACGGGUGGCAGCAGUGAGGAAUAUUGGUCAAUGGACGAAAGUCUGAACCAGCCACGCCGCGUGAAGGAAGAAGGAUCUAUGAGUUGUAAACUUCUUUUGUAUGAGGGUAAAGGCAGAAACGUGUUCCUGUUUGUAUGUACCGUAUGAAUAAGGAUCGGCUAACUCCGUGCCAGCAGCCGCGGUAAUACGGAGGAUGCAAGCGUUAUCCGGAUUUAUUGGGUUUAAAGGGUGCGUAGGUGGUUGAAUAAGUAAGAGGUGAAAUCGCGUGGCUCAACUUUGGAAUUGCCGUUGAUACUGUUCGACUAGAGAAUAGUUGCGGUAGGCGGAAUGUGUGGUGUAGCGGUGAAAUGCUUAGAGAUCAUACAGAACACCGAUUGCGAAGGCAGCUUACCAAGCUAUUACUGACGUUGAGGCACGAAAGCGUGGGGAGCAAACAGGAUUAGAUACCCUAGUAGUC